CAGUACCUGUGUAGCUCAUGACAGGUAGCAGUUUGGGACCAGCAUCUUCGUACUGAGAAGCACAACUUAUCUGUAUAAACUCUCUGAGCAAGCAGGCCUUCAGUCCAAUCAAGUCACGUUCACCCCGUUCCUGCUGGAAAAACAACCUGAUGUCCCCGGCAUGGCCUUCAAGUUGAGCUAUCACUGGCGUAGGAAGAAAUUAUAAAACUUUGACAGCAUUUUGCUCCACGACGGUCUGUGAAUUAUUAUCUAGCACUACGCACUCUCCUCCGUCCCUGCAAAUUGAUUUUUGGAUGAUUUGUUCCGGUUUUUCCAGCUGGGAGGAAUCAGCUCCUUCUACAAGCCCAGGCUGCUGCUGGCCAGCUGGCAGGGAGCAUCGCAGAGCAAGAGUGCCAGAUCCUUAACAGCUGUAUUACUGCUUAUCCAUCUGUAGCACAAACCAUAUGCCAAACCCCAAAAGAGUUCAUUUUUACAGGUAGGAAACAUCUGAUACAGAAAUGAAAGGAUUCACAAUUAGUCAUGGUGAGAGAAACGAAUUUCCUGACUUUUAACUUCGACACACCUCCUCAAUGCAGCAGCAUAUUGAGUCGAGCAAGCCCAUCCUUUCAUAUAAGACACAGU
This is a long non-coding RNA of Physeter macrocephalus (sperm whale), 621 nucleotides long. RefSeq lists it as uncharacterized. The transcript is spliced from 4 exons. Lineage: Eukaryota; Metazoa; Chordata; Mammalia; Artiodactyla; Physeteridae. The record is from RefSeq and is a predicted model, not a curated record.